AUAGGGACUGGAAUGAACGGCUAAAUGAGGACAAAGCUGUCUCUUACGGCCUAGCCAAUGAAAUUGAUCCUCCAGUACAAAAGCUGGAAUAAACUCAUAAGACGAGAAGACCCUGUGGAGCUUUAAAACCAAGAUCAUUAAACUAUGCUCCUUGGAUUUUUAGUUGGGGCGACUUUGGAGCAAAAAAAACCCUCCAAAACAUAAAUUUAAUUAUUUAGACCAACACACCAAGAAAAUUAUAUUAGACCCAGCAGUAUUUUUUUACUGUCUGACCAAUGAACCAAGUUACCCCAGGGAUAACAGCGCUAUCCUCUUCUAGAGUCCCUAUCGACAAGAGGGUUUACGACCUCGAUGUUGGAUCAGGACACCCCUAUAGUGCAGCCGCUAUAAAAGGUUCGUUUGUUCAACGAUUAAAGUCCUACGUGAUCUGAGUUCAGACCGGA
Molecule: ribosomal RNA, 443 nt
Filed under: Podarcis tauricus tauricus
Lineage: Eukaryota; Metazoa; Chordata; Lepidosauria; Squamata; Lacertidae
Description: partial 16S ribosomal RNA
Rfam family: Bacterial large subunit ribosomal RNA
Source: RNAcentral